Lathyrus oleraceus (garden pea) is the source of this 106-nucleotide small nucleolar RNA. Lineage: Eukaryota; Viridiplantae; Streptophyta; Magnoliopsida; Fabales; Fabaceae. The record is from RefSeq and is a predicted model, not a curated record.
AGGCCGUGGAAAGGGAAAAGCCUUAACAAGUCCUUAAAACGCUCUCAUGCUUCAAGCAAUGAUUCUCCCUCCUCUUGCCUAAAAUUAUUUAUCUUGUUCCUAACUU